Molecule: ribosomal RNA, 253 nt
Filed under: uncultured bacterium
Lineage: Bacteria
Description: partial 16S ribosomal RNA
Rfam family: Bacterial small subunit ribosomal RNA
Source: RNAcentral
UACAGAGGUCUCAAGCGUUGUUCGGAUUCAUUGGGCGUAAAGGGUGCGUAGGCGGCGCCGUAAGUCGGGUGUGAAAUUUCGGAGCUUAACUCCGAAACUGCAUUCGAUACUGCCGUGCUUGAGGACUGGAGAGGAGACUGGAAUUUACGGUGUAGCGGUGAAAUGCGUAGAUAUCGUAAGGAAGACCAGUGGCGAAGGCGGGUCUCUGGACAGUUCCUGACGCUGAGGCACGAAGGCCAGGGGAGCAAACGGG